UACGGAGGGUGCAAGCGUUAUCCGGAUUUACUGGGUUUAAAGGGUGUGUAGGCGGGCUUUUAAGUCAGUGGUGAAAUCUCCGGGCUCAACCUGGAAACUGCCAUUGAUACUAUUAGUCUUGAAUAUUGUUGAGGUAGGCGGAAUAAGUCAUGUAGCGGUGAAAUGCAUAGAUAUGACUUAGAACACCAAUUGCGAAGGCAGCUUGCUAAACAAUGAUUGACGCUGAGGCACGAAAGCGUGGGGAUCAAACAGG
Molecule: ribosomal RNA, 253 nt
Filed under: uncultured bacterium
Lineage: Bacteria
Description: partial 16S ribosomal RNA
Rfam family: Bacterial small subunit ribosomal RNA
Source: RNAcentral